RNAcentral lists this unclassified non-coding RNA (293 nucleotides) under uncultured fungus. Its description in RNAcentral is "sequence contains ITS1". Lineage: Eukaryota; Fungi. The record is from RNAcentral.
GGACUACUAGGGUAUCUAAUCCUGUUUGCUCCCCACGCUUUCGCUCCUCAGCGUCAGUGCCGGCCCAGAGAACCGCCUUCGCUACUGGUGUUCCUCCCGAUAUCUGCGCAUUUCACCGCUACACCGGGAAUUCCAUUCUCCUCUACCGGACUCGAGUCACAGCAGUAUCGACUGCAAUUCCGAGGUUGAGCCUCGGACUUUCACAGCCGACUUGCUGAACCGCCUACGAGCUCUUUACGCCCAAUGAUUCCGGAUAACGCUCGGACCCUACGUAUUACCGCGGCUGCUGGCAC